Molecule: ribosomal RNA, 443 nt
Filed under: uncultured bacterium
Lineage: Bacteria
Description: partial 16S ribosomal RNA
Rfam family: Bacterial small subunit ribosomal RNA
Source: RNAcentral
CCUACGGGAGGCAGCAGUGGGGAAUAUUGGACAAUGGGGGGAACCCUGAUCCAGCGACGCCGCGUGAGUGAAGAAGUAUUUCGGUAUGUAAAGCUCUAUCAGCAGGGAAGAAAGAAAUGACGGUACCUGACUAAGAAGCCCCGGCUAACUACGUGCCAGCAGCCGCGGUAAUACGUAGGGGGCAAGCGUUAUCCGGAUUUACUGGGUGUAAAGGGAGCGUAGACGGCGAUGCAAGUCUGAAGUGAAAGGCGGGGGCCCAACCCUCGGACUGCUUUGGAAACUGUAUGGCUGGAGUGCAGGGGAGGUAAGUGGAAUUCGUAGUGUAGCGGUGAAAUGCGUAGAUAUUACGAGGAACCCCAGUGGCGAAGGCGGCUUACUGGACUGUAACUGACGUUGAGGCUCGAAAGCGUGGGGAGCAAACAGGAUUAGAUACCCUGGUAGUC